This 468-nucleotide ribosomal RNA is filed under the name uncultured bacterium. Its description in RNAcentral is "partial 16S ribosomal RNA". It matches the Rfam family "Bacterial small subunit ribosomal RNA", at positions 28 to 507 of the family's 1533-position model. The record is from RNAcentral.
GACGAACGCUGGCGGCGUGCUUAACACAUGCAAGUCGAACGGAAAGGCCCUGCUUUUGUGGGGUGCUCGAGUGGCGAACGGGUGAGUAACACGUGAGUAACCUGCCCUUGACUUUGGGAUAACUUCAGGAAACUGGGGCUAAUACCGGAUAGGAGCUCCUGCUGCAUGGUGGUGGUUGGAAAGUUUCGGCGGUUGGGGAUGGACUCGCGGCUUAUCCGCUUGUUGGUGGGGUAGUGGCUUACCAAGGCUUUGACGGGUAGCCGGCCUGAGAGGGUGACCGGCCACAUUGGGACUGAGAUACGGCCCAGACUCAUACGGGAGGCAGCAGUGGGGAAUAUUGCACAAUGGGGGGAAGCCUGAUGCAGCAACGCCGCGUGCGGGAUGACGGCCUUCGGGUUGUAAACCGAUUUCGCCUGUGACGAAGAGUGAGUGACGGUAAUGGGUAAAGAAGCACCGGCUAACUACGUG